Molecule: ribosomal RNA, 543 nt
Filed under: uncultured archaeon
Lineage: Archaea
Description: bacterial SSU rRNA
Rfam family: Bacterial small subunit ribosomal RNA
Source: RNAcentral
CGCCGCGUGAGGGACGAAGGCUUCUGAUUUGUAAACCUCUUUCGGUAGGAACGAUUGUGACGGUACCUACAGAAGAAGCACCGGACAACUAUGUGCCAGCAGCCGCGGUGAUACAUAGGGUGCAAGCGUUAUUCGGAUUUAUUGGGCGUAAAGAGCUCGUAGGCGGUUCGAUCAGCCGGGUGUGAAACCCCCAGGCUUAACCUGGGGCAGCCACUCGAAACUGUCGUGACUAGAGUUUGGUAGGGGAUCACGGAAUUCCUGGUGUAGCGGUGGAAUGCGCAGAUAUCAGGAGGAACACCAGCAGCGAAGGCGGUGAUCUGGGCCAAUACUGACGCUGACGAGCGAUAGCGUGGGGAGCGAACAGGAUUCGAUACCCUGGUAGUCCACGCCGUAAACGGUGGGCACUACGUGUGGGGACUUUCCACCCGUUUCCGCGCCGCAGCUAUCGCAUUAAGUGCCCCGCCUGUGGAGUACGGCCGCAAGGCUAAAGCUCUAUGAAAUUGACCGGGGGCCCGCACAAGCGGCGGUAGCAUGCGGCUUACU